AACGAACGCUGGCGGCAGGCCUAACACAUGCAAGUCGAGCGCUACCUUCGGGUGGAGCGGCGGACGGGUUAGUAACGCGUGGGAACGUGCCCUCCUCUACGGAAUAGCCAUUGGAAACGAUGAGUAAUACCGUAUAAGCCCUUCGGGGGAAAGAUUUAUCGCCAAAGGAUUAGCCCGCGUUAGAUUAGGUAGUUGGUGGGGUAAUGGCCUACCAAGCCUACGAUCUAUAGCUGGUUUUAGAGGAUGAUCAGCAACACUGGGACUGAGACACGGCCCAGACUCCUACGGGAGGCAGCAGUGGGGAAUCUUGGACAAUGGGGGCAACCCUGAUCCAGCCAUGCCGCGUGAGUGAUGAAGGCCUUAGGGUCGUAAAGCUCUUUCGCCUGUGAAGAUAAUGACGGUGCAGGUAAAGAACCCCGGCUAACUCCGUGCCAGCCGCCGCGGUAAU
This 448-nucleotide ribosomal RNA is filed under the name uncultured bacterium. RNAcentral's name for it is "bacterial SSU rRNA". It matches the Rfam family "Bacterial small subunit ribosomal RNA", at positions 29 to 524 of the family's 1533-position model. The record is from RNAcentral.